GAUGAACGCUGGCGGCGUGCUUAACACAUGCAAGUCGAACGGAAAGGCCCAAGCUUGCUUGGGUACUCGAGUGGCGAACGGGUGAGUAACACGUGGGUGAUCUGCCCUGCACUCCGGGAUAAGCCUGGGAAACUGGGUCUAAUACCGGAUAGGACCACUUCUUGGAUGUUGUGGUGGAAAGUUUUUUCGGUGUGGGAUGAGCUCGCGGCCUAUCAGCUUGUUGGUGGGGUAAUGGCCUACCAAGGCGUCGACGGGUAGCCGGCCUGAGAGGGUGUACGGCCACAUUGGGACUGAGAUACGGCCCAGACGCCUACGGGAGGCAGCAGUGGGGAAGAUUGCACAAUGGGCGCAAGCCUGAUGCAGCGACGCCGCGUGGGGGAUGACGGCCUUCGGGUUGUAAACGCCGUUCGCUAGGGACGAAGCGUUUUGUGACGGUACCUGGAGAAGAAGCACCGGCUAACUACGUG
RNAcentral lists this ribosomal RNA (467 nucleotides) under uncultured bacterium. RNAcentral's name for it is "partial 16S ribosomal RNA". It matches the Rfam family "Bacterial small subunit ribosomal RNA", at positions 28 to 507 of the family's 1533-position model. The record is from RNAcentral.